Molecule: ribosomal RNA, 322 nt
Filed under: uncultured eukaryote
Lineage: Eukaryota
Description: partial 18S ribosomal RNA
Rfam family: Eukaryotic small subunit ribosomal RNA
Source: RNAcentral
CCCUUAGAUGUUCUGGGCCGCACGCGUGCUACACUGAGUGGAUCAGCGGGUCAGGUUGCGCGAAAGUGUUUCCUAAUCUUGAAAUCCGCUCGUGAUGGGGAUUGACGGUUGCAAUUUUCUGUCAUGAACGAGGAAUACCUUGUAAGCGCGGGUCGUCAUCCCGCGCUGAAUACGUCCCUGCCCUUUGUACACACCGCCCGUCGCUCCUACCGAUUGAGUGGUCCGGUGAGGCUUUGGGAUCUGGAUGGAAAGAGCGUUUCGCUGUUUCUGCCCGGAAAACUCAGUCGAACCUUAUCAUUUAGAGGAAGGAGAAGUCGUAACA